CUGGCUCAGGAUGAACGCUGGCGGCGUGCCUAACACAUGCAAGUCGAACGAAGCACUUAGACAGAACCUUCGGGUGACGUAUGGUGACUGAGUGGCGGACGGGUGAGUAACGCGUGGGUAACCUGCCCUGUACAGGGGGAUAACAGUUAGAAAUGACUGCUAAUACCGCAUAAGCGCACGAUGGUAGCAUUACCAGGUGUGAAAAACUCCGGUGGUACAGGAUGGGCCCGCGUCUGAUUAGCUAGUUGGCGGGUAAGAGCCCACCAAGGCGACGAUCAGUAGCCGGUCUGAGAGGAUGAACGGCCACAUUGGAACUGAGACACGGUCCAGACUCCUACGGGAGGCAGCAGUGGGGAAUAUUGCACAAUGGGGGGAACCCUGAUGCAGCAACGCCCGCGUGAGUGACGAAGUAUUUCGGUAUGUAAAGCUCUAUCAGCAGGGAAGAUAAUGACGGUACCUGACUAAGAAGCUCCGGCUAAAUACGUGCCAGCAGCUGC
RNAcentral lists this ribosomal RNA (497 nucleotides) under uncultured bacterium. RNAcentral's name for it is "bacterial SSU rRNA". It matches the Rfam family "Bacterial small subunit ribosomal RNA", at positions 19 to 518 of the family's 1533-position model. The record is from RNAcentral.